RNAcentral lists this ribosomal RNA (415 nucleotides) under uncultured bacterium. RNAcentral's name for it is "bacterial SSU rRNA". It matches the Rfam family "Bacterial small subunit ribosomal RNA", at positions 402 to 809 of the family's 1533-position model. The record is from RNAcentral.
UGAGUGAAGAAGGCCUUCGGGUUGUAAAGCUCUUUCGCAAGGGAAGAAAACUUACACAAUAACACUGUGUGAGGCUGACGGUACCUUGAUAAGAAGCACCGGCUAACUACGUGCCAGCAGCCGCGGUAAUACGUAGGGUGCGAGCGUUAAUCGGAAUUACUGGGCGUAAAGCGUGCGCAGGCGGUUUGGCAAGUCAGAUGUGUAAUCCCCGAGCUCAACUUGGGAACUGCGUUUGAAACUGCCAGACUAGAAUAUGUCAGAGGGGGGUAGAAUUCCACGUGUAGCAGUGAAAUGCGUAGAGAUGUGGAGGAAUACCAAUGGCGAAGGCAGCCCCCUGGGAUAAUAUUGACGCUCAUGCACGAAAGCGUGGGGAGCAAACAGGAUUAGAUACCCUGGUAGUCCACGCCCUAAACGA